RNAcentral lists this ribosomal RNA (1373 nucleotides) under uncultured bacterium. Its description in RNAcentral is "bacterial SSU rRNA". It matches the Rfam family "Bacterial small subunit ribosomal RNA", at positions 28 to 1381 of the family's 1533-position model. The record is from RNAcentral.
GAUGAACGCUGGCGGCGUGCCUAAUACAUGCAAGUCGAGCGAACGGACGAGAAGCUUGCUUCUCUGAUGUUAGCGGCGGACGGGUGAGUAACACGUGGAUAACCUACCUAUAAGACUGGGAUAACUUCGGGAAACCGGAGCUAAUACCGGAUAAUAUUUUGAACCGCAUGGUUCAAAAGUGAAAGACGGUCUUGCUGUCACUUAUAGAUGGAUCCGCGCUGCAUUAGCUAGUUGGUAAGGUAACGGCUUACCAAGGCAACGAUGCAUAGCCGACCUGAGAGGGUGAUCGGCCACACUGGAACUGAGACACGGUCCAGACUCCUACGGGAGGCAGCAGUAGGGAAGCUUCCGCAAUGGGCGAAAGCCUGACGGAGCAACGCCGCGUGAGUGAUGAAGGUCUUCGGAUCGUAAAACUCUGUUAUUAGGGAAGAACAUAUGUGUAAGUAACUGUGCACAUCUUGACGGUACCUAAUCAGAAAGCCACGGCUAACUACGUGCCAGCAGCCGCGGUAAUACGUAGGUGGCAAGCGUUAUCCGGAAUUAUUGGGCGUAAAGCGCGCGUAGGCGGUUUUUUAAGUCUGAUGUGAAAGCCCACGGCUCAACCGUGGAGGGUCAUUGGAAACUGGAAAACUUGAGUGCAGAAGAGGAAAGUGGAAUUCCAUGUGUAGCGGUGAAAUGCGCAGAGAUAUGGAGGAACACCAGUGGCGAAGGCGACUUUCUGGUCUGUAACUGACGCUGAUGUGCGAAAGCGUGGGGAUCAAACAGGAUUAGAUACCCUGGUAGUCCACGCCGUAAACGAUGAGUGCUAAGUGUUAGGGGGUUUCCGCCCCUUAGUGCUGCAGCUAACGCAUUAAGCAUUCCGCCUGGGGAGUACGACCGCAAGGUUGAAACUCAAAGGAAUUGACGGGGACCCGCACAAGCGGUGGAGCAUGUGGUUUAAUUCGAAGCAACGCGAAGAACCUUACCAAAUCUUGACAUCCUUUGACAACUCUAGAGAUAGAGCCUUCCCCUUCGGGGGGGCAAAGUGACAGGUGGUGCAUGGUUGUCGUCAGCUCGUGUCGUGAGAUGUUGGGUUAAGUCCCGCAACGAGCGCAACCCUUAAGCUUAGUUGCCAUCAUUAAGUUGGGCACUCUAAGUUGACUGCCGGUGACAAACCGGAGGAAGGUGGGGAUGACGUCAAAUCAUCAUGCCCCUUAUGAUUUGGGCUACACACGUGCUACAAUGGACAAUACAAAGGGCAGCGAAACCGCGAGGUCAAGCAAAUCCCAUAAAGUUGUUCUCAGUUCGGAUUGUAGUCUGCAACUCGACUACAUGAAGCUGGAAUCGCUAGUAAUCGUAGAUCAGCAUGCUACGGUGAAUACGUUCCCGGGUCU